CUACGUGCCAGCAGCCGCGGUAAUACGGAGGGUGCGAGCGUUAAUCGGAAUAACUGGGCGUAAAGGGCACGCAGGCGGUUAUUUAAGUGAGGUGUGAAAGCCCCGGGCUUAACCUGGGAAUUGCAUUUCAGACUGGGUAACUAGAGUACUUUAGGGAGGGGUAGAAUUCCACGUGUAGCGGUGAAAUGCGUAGAGAUGUGGAGGAAUACCGAAGGCGAAGGCAGCCCCUUGGGAAUGUACUGACGCUCAUGUGCGAAAGCGUGGGGAGCAAACAGGAUUAGAUACCCUGGUAGUCCACGCUGUAAACGCUGUCGAUUUGGGGAUUGGGCUUAAAGCUUGGUGCCCGUAGCUAACGUGAUAAAUCGACCGCCUGGGGAGUACGGCCGCAAGGUUAAAACUCAAAGGAAUUGACGGGGACCCGCACAAGCGGUGGAUGAUGUGGAUUAAUUCGAUGCAACGCGAAAAACCUUACCUACGCUUGACAU
RNAcentral lists this ribosomal RNA (485 nucleotides) under uncultured bacterium. Its description in RNAcentral is "bacterial SSU rRNA". It matches the Rfam family "Bacterial small subunit ribosomal RNA", at positions 501 to 987 of the family's 1533-position model. The record is from RNAcentral.